GAUAAACGCUAGCGGCAGGCUUAACACAUGCAAGUCGAGGGGCAGCAUAGAUUGUAGCAAUACAAUUGGUGGCGACCGGCGCACGGGUGCGUAACGCGUAUGCAACCUACCCGUCACAGGGGGAUAAUCCGGAGAAAUCUGGUCUAAUACCCCAUAACAUAUGGAUCGGCAUCGGUUCAUGUUGAAAUUUUCGGAGGUGACGGGUGGGCAUGCGUAGCAUUAGCUUGUUGGGGAGGUAACGGCUCACCAAGGCGACGAUGCUUAGGGGGACUGAGAGGUUUUCCCCCCACACUGGUACUGAGACACGGACCAGACUCCUACGGGAGGCAGCAGUGAGGAAUAUUGGUCAAUGGGCGCAAGCCUGAACCAGCCAUGCCGCGUGCAGGAUGACGGCUCUAUGAGUUGUAAACUGCUUUUGUACGAGGGUAAAGUGGGUUACAUGUAACCUUUUGAAAGUAUCGUACGAAUAAGGAUCGGCUAACUCCGUGCCAGCCGCCGCCGUAA
RNAcentral lists this ribosomal RNA (504 nucleotides) under uncultured bacterium. RNAcentral describes it as "partial 16S ribosomal RNA". It matches the Rfam family "Bacterial small subunit ribosomal RNA", at positions 28 to 523 of the family's 1533-position model. The record is from RNAcentral.